GUGAGGAAUUUUCCGCAAUGGGCGAAAGCCUGACGGAGCAAUGCCGCGUGAAGGAUGAAGGCCUAUGGGUUGUAAACUUCUUUUCUUAGAGAAGAAUGUUGACGGUAUCUGAGGAAUAAGCAUCGGCUAACUCUGUGCCAGCAGCCGCGGUAAGACAGAGGAUGCAAGCGUUAUCCGGAAUGAUUGGGCGUAAAGCGUCUGUAGGUGGCUUCAAAAGUCUCCUGUCAAAGAUCAGGGCUUAACCCUGGGCCGGCAGGAGAAACUCUGAGGCUAGAGUUUGGUAGGGGCAGAGGGAAUUCCCGGUGGAGCGGUGAAAUGCGUAGAGAUCGGGAGGAACACCAAAGGCGAAAGCACUCUGCUGGGCCACAACUGACACUGAGAGACGAAAGCGAGGGGAGCAAAAGGGAUUAGAUACCCCAGUAGUCC
This 426-nucleotide ribosomal RNA is filed under the name uncultured bacterium. Its description in RNAcentral is "partial 16S ribosomal RNA". It matches the Rfam family "Bacterial small subunit ribosomal RNA", at positions 354 to 796 of the family's 1533-position model. The record is from RNAcentral.